RNAcentral lists this ribosomal RNA (484 nucleotides) under uncultured bacterium. RNAcentral's name for it is "partial 16S ribosomal RNA". It matches the Rfam family "Bacterial small subunit ribosomal RNA", at positions 30 to 507 of the family's 1533-position model. The record is from RNAcentral.
AUUGAACGCUGGCGGCAGGCCUAACACAUGCAAGUCGAGCGGAUGAAGGGAGCUUGCUCCUGGAUUCAGCGGCGGACGGGUGAGUAAUGCCUAGGAAUCUGCCUGGUAGUGGGGGAUAACGUCCGGAAACGGGCGCUAAUACCGCAUACGUCCUGAGGGAGAAAGUGGGGGAUCUUCGGACCUCACGCUAUCAGAUGAUCCUAGGUCGGAUUAGCUAGUUGGUGGGGUAAAGGACUACCAAGGCGACGAUCCGUAACUGGUCUGAGAGGAUGAUCAGUCACACUGGAACUGAGACACGGUCCAGACUCCUAUGGGAGGCAGCAGUGGGGAAUAUUGGACAAUGGGCGAAAGCCUGGUCCAGCCAUGCCGCGUGUGUGAAGAAGGUCUUCGGCUUGUAAAGCACUUUAAGUUGGGAGGAAGGGCAGUAAGUUAAUACCUUGCUGUUUUGACGUUACCAACAGAAUAAGCACCGGCUAACUUCGUG